AAGUCGUAACAAGGUUUCCGUAGGUGAACCUGCGGAAGGAUCAUUAACACGUCACUGAUUGUGCAAGGAUAGCGCUUCACGAUUCCUGUAGACCGUACACUCGGGCAGGAGCUAUGCCAAAGGGUCCCCAUGCCCCCUUAUAACCCCACAGUUUAAUGUAAAGCUCAAUGUAAUACAUUGGGUAAAAAAACCGAACAACUGUUAACAAUGGAUAUCUUGGUUCUC
RNAcentral lists this unclassified non-coding RNA (225 nucleotides) under fungal sp. RNAcentral describes it as "partial internal transcribed spacer region". The stretch from base 1 to 46 matches the Rfam family "Eukaryotic small subunit ribosomal RNA", at positions 1786 to 1831 of the family's 1831-position model. Lineage: Eukaryota; Fungi. The record is from RNAcentral.